CCCUUAGAUGUUCUGGGCCGCACGCGCGCUACACUGACGAAGUCAGCGAGCAUGUCCUACGCCGACAGGUGCGGGGAAUCUUGUCAAACUUCGUCGUGAUGGGGAUUGAUUAUUGAAAUUCUUGAUCAUCAACGAGGAAUUCCUAGUAAGCGCAAGUCAGCAGCUUGCGUUGAUUACGUCCCUGCCCUUUGUACACACCGCCCGUCGCUACUACCGAUUGAAUGGUUUAGUGAGAUCUUCGGAUGGGCGCCACUGCGGCUCAGCAAUGGGCUCGGUGGAUGCCGAAAAGUUGAUCAAACUUGAUCAUUUAGAGGAAGUAAAAGUCGUAACA
This 331-nucleotide ribosomal RNA is filed under the name uncultured eukaryote. RNAcentral's name for it is "partial 18S ribosomal RNA". It matches the Rfam family "Eukaryotic small subunit ribosomal RNA", at positions 1470 to 1796 of the family's 1831-position model. The record is from RNAcentral.